Molecule: ribosomal RNA, 740 nt
Filed under: Bacillus sp. FJAT-4720
Lineage: Bacteria; Bacillati; Bacillota; Bacilli; Caryophanales; Bacillaceae
Description: bacterial SSU rRNA
Rfam family: Bacterial small subunit ribosomal RNA
Source: RNAcentral
UCGAGCGAAUCGACGGGAGCUUGCUCCCUGAGAUUAGCGGCGGACGGGUGAGUAACACGUGGGCAACCUGCCUAUAAGACUGGGAUAACUUCGGGAAACCGGAGCUAAUACCGGAUACGUUCUUUUCUCGCAUGAGAGAAGAUGGAAAGACGGUUUACGCUGUCACUUAUAGAUGGGCCCGCGGCGCAUUAGCUAGUUGGUGAGGUAAUGGCUCACCAAGGCGACGAUGCGUAGCCGACCUGAGAGGGUGAUCGGCCACACUGGGACUGAGACACGGCCCAGACUCCUACGGGAGGCAGCAGUAGGGAAUCUUCCGCAAUGGACGAAAGUCUGACGGAGCAACGCCGCGUGAACGAAGAAGGCCUUCGGGUCGUAAAGUUCUGUUGUUAGGGAAGAACAAGUACCAGAGUAACUGCUGGUACCUUGACGGUACCUAACCAGAAAGCCACGGCUAACUACGUGCCAGCAGCCGCGGUAAUACGUAGGUGGCAAGCGUUGUCCGGAAUUAUUGGGCGUAAAGCGCGCGCAGGUGGUUCCUUAAGUCUGAUGUGAAAGCCCACGGCUCAACCGUGGAGGGUCAUUGGAAACUGGGGAACUUGAGUGCAGAAGAGGAAAGUGGAAUUCCAAGUGUAGCGGUGAAAUGCGUAGAGAUUUGGAGGAACACCAGUGGCGAAGGCGACUUUCUGGUCUGUAACUGACACUGAGGCGCGAAAGCGUGGGGAGCAAACAGGAUUAGAUAC